AUUCUAAACUCUCAGUAAUGUCUCAAGAAAGGAAACUGAGAGUUGUAUACUCCUUGGUAGGAAUAGUAGACAUUUUGGAUGUUUUGACAAAAAGACCAACUAAGUAGAUACUCAGAAAGAAGCUGGGGGAGGAAAUGCCAAACACCUUCUAACCUGUUUAAAAUGCAUAUAUUAAAAUCCUAGUGCACCUUCAGCAGUACACGAUGACAAAAUAUGACUUCUCAAAAGAAACAGCAAAACAGGAAUAAAUUCAAAGAAAGGAUAACUAAGAUGAUGACAGGGAAUUACAUAAACUUAAAAGAGCAGACAGACAAGACCUGCAUUCAUCUAUAUAUAGUUAGACCAGACAAAGAGAGACCAUAAUUAAAGUCUUCAAAUUUAAAGGGAUAAGAGGGAU
Molecule: long non-coding RNA, 397 nt
Filed under: Marmota monax (woodchuck)
Lineage: Eukaryota; Metazoa; Chordata; Mammalia; Rodentia; Sciuridae
Source: RNAcentral